UGGGGAAUAUUGGACAAUGGGGGCAACCCUGAUCCAGCAAUGCCGCGUGAGUGAUGAAGGCCUUCGGGUUGUAAAGCUCUUUUGCCAGGGACGAUGAUGACGGUACCUGGAGAAUAAGCCCCGGCUAACUUCGUGCCAGCAGCCGCGGUAAUACGAAGGGGGCAAGCGUUGUUCGGAAUUACUGGGCGUAAAGGGCGCGUAGGCGGCCGAUCAAGUCAGGCGUGAAAUUCCCGGGCUCAACUUGGGGGCCUGCGCUUGAUACUGAUUGGCUUGAAUGCGGGAGGAGGAUAGUGGAAUUCCCAGUGUAGAGGUGAAAUUCGUAGAUAUUCGGAGGAACACCAGUGGCGAAGGCGGCUCACUGGCUCGAUACUGACGCUGAGGUGCGAAAGCGUGGGGAGCAAACAGGAUUAGAUACC
This 416-nucleotide ribosomal RNA is filed under the name uncultured bacterium. RNAcentral describes it as "bacterial SSU rRNA". It matches the Rfam family "Bacterial small subunit ribosomal RNA", at positions 355 to 786 of the family's 1533-position model. The record is from RNAcentral.